CCUAUUUGUAUGGUUCCUAUUCAACUGUCUACAGCAUUCAUAUGCUUGAGAGGAUUCAUAUGCUUCUCCGGUUCGGUGGUUGUGGUGUCUGCUGCAGUGCUUGGAGUCCUCAGGAAGCGCUAGGAGCAUCCUUUAACGGAGGUACCCAGUGGGGGUGCCAGGUGAUCCGUUACAUUGGUGGCAAGCGGUGGGAUGGCGUCCUAGUGCGAGGUAAAGCAGCUCGGAGACACAGUUCGUGGAUUUACAAAUUGAGGGCAACGCUAGUAUCCGU
Non-coding RNA from Pelobates cultripes (western spadefoot toad), 271 nucleotides. NCBI's taxonomy places the organism in Eukaryota, Metazoa, Chordata, Amphibia, Anura, Pelobatidae. The record is from the annotation of a GenBank genome assembly.